Onychostoma macrolepis is the source of this 780-nucleotide long non-coding RNA. RefSeq lists it as uncharacterized. The transcript is spliced from 4 exons. The record is from RefSeq and is a predicted model, not a curated record. NCBI's taxonomy places the organism in Eukaryota, Metazoa, Chordata, Actinopteri, Cypriniformes, Cyprinidae.
GGAACAGCUGUUAGCUGCAAGGGACUGGACCACUGAAGUUAGAUGAUUGAUCUUCAUGUCCAGUUCGUUGAGUGCCUCCAGAAUCGCCCUCUCAACAGCUGAAACACAAAUUCUGUCCUGAUGUUUGGCUGUGGUCCCUCCAUCAUCCACUCUUCAGCAACUGGUCUUUGUAUGGAGGCCACCAUGAUCUAUACAGAUCUAGUUGUCUCGUCUCCCACAAACUCCAUUUUCAGGGUCCAGUGACAACUAGGGGGUGUCGACAAACUUCCAAUGAGGACCAUUAGACCACUUGAGAAGAAUUACCUCAUAUGACCAAGCUCUAAUGUUGUAAAGCAGAUUUUGAGCUGAUCUCCUUCAUUCUGCCGCCAGCUCACCACAACACCCUGGGUGCACCAGCUGUGGAAAUUACGGGCCAAACUUUGGACACACUAGGAAAUGGUUCAUCCUAAGAUGCACAGAUCUACCUAUAGCCCACCAUCAUUCCCACACUCAUCUUGCAACAAUGUUUCAUUAAGUGCAGUCUAUAACCAGUGUCUGCCAUGCACGGUCUGCACCUUGUUUUAUUGCAGAUGUUAUGGAUUAUUCUAUUAGAGCUCUUUAUAUUCUUUAUUUGAGACUGUUAUUAUGUAGAGACUGUUAUGUUGUGAAUAAAGUCAACUCAACGCGAUGCUUUCAGCAGUUAAUACAUUAAAAUGUGUCCUUAAUGUUUUAUUAUUUAAAGAUAUUAUUUAAAGUUUAUUACAGGCUCAGUGAAUUUUCUUUCACUAGAAUAAGAGUACU